Molecule: long non-coding RNA, 615 nt
Filed under: Citrus x clementina
Lineage: Eukaryota; Viridiplantae; Streptophyta; Magnoliopsida; Sapindales; Rutaceae
Description: Citrus clementina (C. clementina) long non-coding RNA (CCLE_LNC001535)
Source: RNAcentral
AUGAGGGUAUAUUUAUGAUUUUAUUAACAAUAUAUAGACAAAUUGGAUAAUCUAAUAAUUUUUUUUAUAUGCUAGAAGGGUAUAAUGGUAAAAUUAUAAUAAAUUGGGGGUGUAAAUAUCUUUUUUAAAACAUUAGGGGAUUUUUAUCCCUUUGGUUAAACGUUGGGGGUGUGUUUAUCCUUUUCCCUUUGUGAAAUAACUAAAGAUUCCAAUGCAUGUUUGAAAUAUUGUUCUUGUGAUCGGUGGUCAUCCGUCUUGCUGAGCUGUAUGUCCAAAGGUGACAUUUGGCUGGAACGUGACUUUUCACUUUUAUAUUCGUUGACAAAGUUGUAUUCAUCGAUUAAAUCCAGGGGUAUUUACGGAGUGGGAACUCGAAAGUUUAAUAAAUAUUAAUUUAAUUUAUUAUAAUUACAGUUGAUGGGAUAAUUUUAAAUAGGAAAAAAUCUCUUUUCAUCUUUAGGGUUUGAAAAAACAGCACAUUUCAUCCUUACUUUUUAAACAAUAGCUUGUUUCAUCCUUAUUUUUUAAACAAUAGUCCAAAAUAACCUUCUAUAAAUUUACAAUUAGUUUACUCUAUAAUUUAUUGAGGACAAAAUAGGAUUUUCAGUUGAAUAA